RNAcentral lists this ribosomal RNA (482 nucleotides) under Acanthamoeba sp. RNAcentral describes it as "SSU rRNA". It matches the Rfam family "Eukaryotic small subunit ribosomal RNA", at positions 586 to 942 of the family's 1831-position model. Lineage: Eukaryota; Discosea; Longamoebia; Acanthamoebidae. The record is from RNAcentral.
CAGCUCCAAUAGCGUAUAUUAAAGUUGUUGCAGUUAAAAAGCUCGUAGUUGGAUCUAGGGACGCGCAUUUCAAGCGCCCGUGCCAUCGGGUCAAACCGGUGGCUGCGUUGGCGUUGCGGGCUCGGUCCGUCGGUGCCCCACAAAGGUUAUCGGCGUGUCAACCGGCCCGCCCGUCCCCUCCUUCUGGAUUCCCGUUCCUGCUAUUGAGUUAGUGGGGACGUCACAGGGGGGUUCAACGCGUCGGCGGUGGAUCUCUGGGGCCCAGAUCGUUUACCGUGAAAAAAUUAGAGUGUUCAAAGCAGGCAGAUUCAAUUUUCUGCCACCGAAUACAUUAGCAUGGGAUAAUGGAAUAGGACCCUGUCCUCCUAUUUUCAGUUGGUUUUGGCAGCGCGAGGACUAGGGUAAUGAUUAAUAGGGAUAGUUGGGGGCAUUAAUAUUUAAUUGUCAGAGGUGAAAUUCUUGGAUUUAUGAAAGAUUAACUU